Molecule: RNA transcript, 7245 nt
Organism: Cornus florida
Lineage: Eukaryota; Viridiplantae; Streptophyta; Magnoliopsida; Cornales; Cornaceae
Exons: 3
Source: RefSeq, a predicted model, not a curated record
GUACUCAACUUAGAAACCCUAAAUACUUCUUCACAAGUUGUAUAGCCGCUUCUAGAGAGUUGAUCAGUGAAGCGAUCACUGCUUCUCGCCAAUCUCCAAUCAGUGCCAUCUUGGAUUUCCGGUCUGUUCUGCUCCGACCAUCUCCUUCUCCGAUUAAUGAACCCAUCUGUAAGUUCUUAUUUUUGUUCCGAUCAUCACCAUCUCCGAUUGGUGAACCCAUCUGCAAAUCCUUGUUUCUUUUUGCUACAAAUCCUUAUUUCUUUUUUCUAGUCAGUCAAAAUGAUUAAUUAAUUUGAAUAAAACUUGACUUCUGUGUUCUUAAAUUGAAUGAGCGGACUAGAAUUAGCAGUAUUCUAAUAUUUACCUUCUACCCUACUAUCUAUUAGUGUUGUUAUUGUAGUGUAUAAAGUCGUACUCUAUAAUAAAGAAGAUAGGAUUAUGUAGAUAUCAAUUCCAUAUAUGGAAUUGGAAUCUACAUAGUAUCCAAUUCUAUUUCUUUGGUACAUCUAUUUGUUCCGAUCAAUCUAAGAUAAUGUACAGGUAACUCUUAUUCUUAUGGUUCUAAUUCCUAGAUUUUUUAUUAUUUCCAACUUGAAUCCCAAUUUUUUUUUAGCAUUACGAAGAAAAAAAAAACAUUAAAUUAUUAUUUUUUUUAUUUUUUACUUUUUUAGCAUUAGGAAGAAAAAAAAAAAAAAAAAAAAAAAAAAAAACUAAGUUCUUAUUUUUGUUCUGAUUAGUGAACCCAUCUGCAAAUCCUUAUUUCUUUUUGUUCUUCUGAACGAUCUGAACUGGGAAAAAAAGGCAAAAAAAGGCAGGGGAAAUAACUGUAAAACGCAUAUCAGGAACGACAAUGAUCUUUAUCUAUAGUAAAUAAAGAAUUGUGUAAUCAAAUAAGAUAUCACUAUCUUUGUUUUGUUGUAUCACAAUGUUUUGUCAUUGUGAGUGAAAAGUGUACUAUGGUUAUUUUAUUUGUAUAUGGCAUCGGUACAGAGAGGAUUUAAAGCAGUGCAGAGAUCAUUGCCCACACCAAAACUGAAGAACAAUAAAAAUGGUGGAAAUUGGGUUUUUAGGGUUGAGAAUCAUGGGGAAGGCCGUGUCCAUAACCUUGCUCCGCCAUGGCGUUAAGGUGACUGUAUGGAACCGGACCCAUUCUAAGGAAGUAGCAGAUUGAGUAUUCAGGCCCAAGCCUAGCCUGGUUCAGAAGAUCUGACAUCAGACCAAAUUUCAGAGCCACAGACAAAAUUUCAAAGCCACAACAGAAUAGUUCAGCCUGUUCAGCAGUAGACUGAAAAAAAAAAAAAAAAACUUCAGAAAAGUAUUUGGAGCAGGAUUUCUCUCUCAUACACCUUGCAGAGCUACUUCCAAGCAUCCACGGACACUCAAAUCGGACUUGGUAAAGGCAGUAAGGCACUGUAUGAGGAAGCACACUGUCUUUUCGACAUCAUGGGGAAGAAGAAAUUUUUUCUUGGGCAUGUUGGAAAUGGUGCAAAAACGAAAUUUCUUGUGAACAUGUUAAUGGUGAGGUAAUAAUUCAUUUUUGCACGAAGGAUAUUUCUGAAUUAGAGUGUUCUCUUCGGCGUGACUUUCACCAUAUGAGCACAAUACCACCCUUGGACAAAAAAGUGGGCAAAUCACUCAUAGUAGUUCCUCAUACUAGUUCCAAAAGUGAGCAACUUGCUCCCCUGGCAGACCUUUAGCCACUUUCUGUCCAACUGUUGCAUCACGUGACCUGUACUUUUGUAUAUUGCCAAUAUUGCCCUUCAAUAUGACCGUUGUACCCCUUUGUCUAAUCCAUCUUCCUUCUAUUUUUUAGAACCUGCUCUCUCUCUCUCUCUCUCCCUCCAACUGCACUGCUAAACAAAAUUUCGCAAUAAAAUUUACUCUUUCGAUCACUCCCCUCCCUCUUUGGUUGGUCCCAUGUUGAGCUUACACAGCCAUUUUCGCAGGGAUAUUUGCCCAAAUUCUCUUAUUAAUUGCCCUCUUCCUUUUCUUGGGAUACUUAUAUAGAAACCCAACCUACCUUGCUAAUACUAAGUAAUUAACGGGAUGUCAGUUUAAAUAUAUAUAGAUAUAUCUGUAUUUCACAAUUCAUCUUCUUCGCUACGAGUUGUAAAUCUUCACACACUGGCCUACAUUGAUUUUUGAAUGGUGUUAUAUAUAUAUAUAUGUAUUUGUAUAUAUGAUCAUCUCUCAAUAAAAGGCCAAACUACUGAAUAAAUGCACUUAAAAAUUUUGGAGAUGUAGUUCCCAAUCACAAAAGCAUACUUCAGAGGGUGAAAGAAAAAAAAAGACAAUUUCCAUGUCACAGUAAGAAACAAUUCAGCAAAGUAAAUGAUUUAAAUUUCUUCUACAACUAAAUUCAUCUCAUAUAAACAGAAAAUUAGCUAUAAUUACAAAAUCAAAUUGCCUAAAAAACUCGAACUUUAUCAGUGUAAGAAAAAAUUGAGAAGGUUAUACGGUUUUAAUUUCUUUUGUAACAUUAAUUUCAUUACCCUUCUUCUUCUUCCCGAAUUCGUAGCGAAGAGCCAGAAAUCUCGGGAGAAAGAGUUCUGCAUUCUCGACCUCUACGAGUCCAUCUCUGGCUGAAAUUGAUGUUUUCAUUUGAAUCAACCUCUGCCGUCCGAUCACAUGCCAUCACCUCUCUCUCCAUAGUGCCGGUACCAGGUGACGGUUUACAUACUCUCUUUAUAGUCGUUGACCGGGCGUUGUCGGCACAGAGUCCCAUACCGGAAUCUUACUUCUCUUGCCAGUAAACAUUAAAGUUUUUAAGAAAAAUUUAUUUUAAAACAUCAAUAUUUUGGGCGGGUCGGUUGGGUUUCACGGGUUAAUUUUUUUUUUUUAUUAGUAUUUUUUUUUUACAAAUUACAUUUUCAUUUUCCAUAUUUUUAAAUUUUAAGAAAAUUUUAUUUUUUAAACAUCAAUAUUUUGGGCAGGUCAGUCGGGUUUCACGAGUCAAAUUUUUGAAACUAUACUAAGUAUGAAAUGUAUCCUAACCUUUUUAGAUUCAUUCCUAAAGUGUCGUUUUUACCUUUUUCAUUCAUAGUAAUUUUGAACAACCUUUCAAUUCCGCAAUUGCUGUCGAUCUCAAUAUAGUAACUUGAAUUUAUAACUCGACUAGGAUUUUUUUUGACACCGAAAGUUGCUAAUUACAGAAUAUAUAUUUUUUAUAAUCUUUCCAAAAUAUAUAUCUCACAUAAACUUGUCAAUGAGAUUCAGUCAACUGCUAGCACAUGUUCAAGUACAGAAAAACAAGCAAUAGGAGCUCUUUGCUAAAGCAUUCAGCUAGGAACUUAUCGCCAAUAUUGAAAGUACAAUUUGUUUAUAGCCAAGAUUUCUAGCUAUGCCUAAAUGUAUGAUAAAGGCCUCCAUUAUUUUGCCAAUUUCAACUGGGGCUUUCCUGACCCUGCCUUCUGAUUGAAAGAGAUUCGGAGUCCUUACUAUGAAGGGGUCCGGCUUGUUAUGUUUUUCUGGGUGUGACUUGGUUAUGUUGAAUGGGCAAGAGAGGGUGAAAGCAAAUACGGUUCAUGUGAAAUGCUACUCUUUGAAAGCAGUAGCUGAGCCACCCACCCAAAUGUCCACUAUGGGGUUCGAACCCCUCAUCUCUUCCUUUGAAGGAGAAGAGGUUAUACCAGUCGGUCCAGUAAUUAAGGGUCUAUUUCUGCACCUUCCAAAAAGCUAAAAAUUUGAGUGUUGACGAUGGACAAUCUAAAACUGUUGUUGGAGAUAUUCAAUCUUGUGAUACAGAUGGAUUGGGGUAUGUGAAGAUGGUCAAUCUUAAAUUUCAAUAAACAAGGGUAACUUUUUCCACAGGUAAAAGUUGCAAAACUGUUCCGAGUGUUGGACAUUAUCUUUCCAUAACUUGGUUCCAGAAAUCAAAAUCAACAUUCUGCAUUUUGAUCCUAUCGGUCUUUUUUAGGCCCAAGGACUGCACAUUUUUAGCCCAACCAAUUUUUAAGAAUAUAAUGUAUGUGGAUCUAGGGAGCACAAUUAGAGGAAUGAUACGGACAGCAUCAAAAAAAUAUACUCCGUAUAAUAUAUAUAUAAUAUUGUUUUUAUCAUUUUAUUUAUAGGAUCAUAAAUAAAUCACUAAUUUUACAAUGUUUGUUAUUUUUAUUUUUUUAAAUUUCAUAUUAUAUUUCUAAUUAACUUAUAAUAUACUCCAUCUGUACCAAAAUAAAUGUCCUAUUUUUGAGAACUAAUGUGAAUCACGGUUCUCAACAUAUUUAGUAAUUAGAUUAGAAUAGAGAGAGUAUUAUAUUUCCAAUUAACUUAUAAUAUAUUUUAAAUCUUAUUGAAUUUCACUUUUUUUUUAUAUAUAUAAUUACAAAAUUACCCUGAUCUGCAAGUGUCGAAAACAUUUCCUUAUGGAGUCCAUGUCUUUCAACCAAAAAAAUAAAAUAUUUACCAUUUAGGAUGCUUCUAAAAGAAAAGUGUCAGCUUAUAACAACCGAAAAAAGCUUAUAUUUUAAUAGUGCUGUCUUUUUCCUUAUGGAAUAAUACUAAUUUCCCUUCUUCAAAUUUAACGUAGUACUAAACACAGUUAUGUCACGGACCAGUUUCACGCAAUAUUAGAUAAUAGCGACUUUCCUUCUAAUUCAAUUAAAAUUUCCAGAGUCUAUAGCAUCCAGUACACUUGGAUCUAAAUAUACAAAAAGUAUAAUAGUAUCUAAGUCCAUAGUCCCUACCAUACAUCAUCACUAUCGAUACGAGCAAAAUACAUAGAAUUCACCAUUCAUUGAGCUUAGAUGCUGAGUAAUAUAUGGACGCAAAAGAUCUCAUCGGAUCCAAAGAACCAUCAAAUGCCUACCAAGAUGCUCCUUCCUCAGCAUUCCAAUUUGAAGAGAGUGACCCUGAUUCCAACGCGCUACAUCUGCUUUUCAAUUGUUGAAUUUCUAUGUUUGAUCUAACCUGAAUUGCCAGAAAAACAAUUUCAAUUCAUUAGGUCACAAAGAAGAAUAAUUAGAGAAAAGCACGAACUUGGACCAACAUGAUUCAAACACAACCUAAUUUCAUUCUUGUAAGCAACGGUAAGAAAGGUAAAUUGAAGGCCCUUUUUUUGGAGAAUGACACUAAGAAGACCAAGUAAAAUCAGUGAUGUGAUUGGUAGCAUGAACACCAUGCCAUAGAAUUGAAAAAAAAAAAAAAAAAAAAAAAAAAAAAACCAUAUUAGGUCAAACUAAAAGAAAAUUUCAUUCAACUCUAUGUUGUUUUACAAAGUGCAACGUCGUUUAUUGGCUAUAAAUUCCCUUCCACCAACAUAGAAAAUUUUACCUCCAAAUCAGGUAACAAAUGUAUUUGUAUUCAGUUAAGUAAUUUUUGUAAUAUAUUGAAUUUGUUACGUCUUACCAUCUAUUAGUGAUUUUUUGUUAUAGACACGGAGAGAAGUAAGAGAGCUAGUAAACCAAGAUGGCAUUUGGGAAUCUGACCCUUGCGUGCCAGCAGCUACAGUACCGUAAUAAUGUUCAAUACAUACCUAGAGUUUGCAGGGCACCCAUUUUAAGUUAAUCUCAAUUCAGGAAGCAGUAGUAAAAAGGUGCAAACAAAACAGACAUUAGUUACCUUAUCUAUAACAGACUCUGUAUCAUUGCAUGUUAGACAGAUCUGAACGACCAACAUACGCCUCUGAAACGGUGGUCCUAAUGUCAUCACCGGCUUGACUUGUAAUAGUUGUGGUCCGACAUCUUAAUGUAUUCUGGGAAAGAGAGGUAUUUCCAGCAACCGGUGAGGAUGAAAACAAGGAGAUCAAGUUGCGGGUUUGAGCUCGGUCCAGCUCAAAAUAAAAAAGAUUAUACCCAUAGUUGUUCUCAGCAAUUAUUGGCUUAAACUGAGCUUCAGACAAGGGCUGUCACUGCAUCUGGAUUUGGACCUGAACCUUAGACACAAAGAAAGCAUAUGAUUCACAGUUUUAUACACCCAAAUCCUCAAAGAAGUUAAAAAAAGAGUGUGAUAGUAACAUGCAUAUAGCUGUGCAGGGUAUGGUGUGUCCUUUGAACCAUCUUCCAUCCAACCAUAUCAAUUGAUAUUCAUUUGUCCAGGGCUGACAGCCUCAAAGAUACCAUAAAGGUUCCGAUCACAGUUGUUGAAUAAGAAUAAUGGCAAACCAGGAGUGACGUUCUUUACAUAUGAAUAAUGAGCAACUGGUAUACCUGUUCAAAAAUAUGAAAAACAUUUAAUGAGUCUGAAUAGCUUAAACUGCAUAUAUCAAAAUCUAGAUAUAGUAGAAAAAGAGAAAAGCAUGCAGAAAAAGGUAGCCAACUAACCAAACAGCAGCCUGUUAUAACAUUCAUCGAUUGUGUGAUGCUUGCAUCCAAAAAUAACUACACCAGGAUCACUCUUACUUGGAUUCCUAGCAGGUGCACUGCAAUUUGCCGACCAAGAAGAUUGAGAUUUGUCCUUGAUCGCAAGUGCCUUGUUCUUCUUGUCAUUCAUCGCAAGUGCCUUGUUCUUCUUCCCAACUAUAAAUAUGAAUCCAAAACAUAUAUAUUUGACACAAACAUGAAAUGGUAAUUAGUUAUAAAUUGCACCAAUGUGGCACUAACCAAUUUAAAAUACCGCCAUAAGGCAAAAAGCCAAAAACAGUAACAUCAAUAUUCAAUAAAUCACAUCUUUUGAAAAAUUAGAAAUGUUGCCAAUAUUUGAGGGUUUGACAUUAGAACAUCAUAAAGAGAAAAUAUGGCAUGAUAAGCAUCUAGAGUUCUAUAUUUAAAAAAGAAAAUCAGAAAGCAUGAAUUCAACAACUCAAGCUAUUUUUGUUUAAAAUCAACUAUGCCCUUUUAAUCAUUAGAGGACUGUAACAUAUUGACUAACAACUCGGUUUUGUACGGAAAAAAUGAACUUUUUAAAAAACAGGAAACUGAACUCUCAUUUUAGUUCAGCAUUCAAUAUAAACAAAUGUUAUACCAACUCUCAUUUGAAAAAGAAGAACUGAUUAGUUCUUAAUCGAGCCGAUAGAGCAUUAAAAAGGAGUAAAUGAGCAUGUGAUAUUAUGCCUCCAGCAAGAGAAUAGUAUACACUCAAUCUUCUUUUUUUAAGAAAAAAAAAAUAAUACUUCAUGAGAACAUAUAUCACAAUUUGACCCCACAUUGUGAGUUUUUAGUGAACAUUAAUAAAUAUAAAUAAUAAAAAAAAAUCAACUCACCAAAAAAUAAAAAAUAAAUCAACUCACCAAAAAUAAAAAAUACAGUAAAAAAAUUAAUUCGACCCUUCCAUAAACAACAGGAUAACAAGAAACAGAGUGGGGCACUC